GUAGUCGGAUUCACAUCAAUCCACAUGUAUUGAGGUGGAUUUGAGUGAAAUUUGAACUAAAUUCUAUCUCAAUCCACACCAACACACAUGGAUUGAAGUGAAUCCGACA
Sorghum bicolor (sorghum) is the source of this 109-nucleotide microRNA precursor. It matches the Rfam family "MIR5565 microRNA precursor family". The record is from Rfam. NCBI's taxonomy places the organism in Eukaryota, Viridiplantae, Streptophyta, Magnoliopsida, Poales, Poaceae.